Molecule: non-coding RNA, 27 nt
Filed under: Cricetulus griseus (Chinese hamster)
Lineage: Eukaryota; Metazoa; Chordata; Mammalia; Rodentia; Cricetidae
Source: RNAcentral
GUCUCGGAGAAAUGGGCUGGUCGCUCC